GAUGAACGCUGGCGGCGUGCCUAAUACAUGCAAGUCGAGCGAAUGGAUUAAGAGCUUGCUCUUAUGAAGUUAGCGGCGGACGGGUGAGUAACACGUGAGUAACCUGCCCAUAAGACUGGGAUAACUCCGGGAAACCGGGGCUAAUACCGGAUAACAUUUUGAACCGCAUGGUUCGAAAUUGAAAGGCGGCUUCGGCUGUCACUUAUGGAUGGACCCUCGGCGCAUUAGCUAGUUGGUGAGGUAACGGCUCACCAAGGCAACGAUGCGUAGCCGACCUGAGAGGGUGAUCGGCCACACUGGGACUGAGACACGGCCCAGACUCCUACGGGAGGCAGCAGUAGGGAAUCUUCCGCAAUGGACGAAAGUCUGACGGAGCAACGCCGCGUGAGUGAUGAAGGCUUUCGGGUCGUAAAACUCUGUUGUUAGGGAAGAACAAGUGCUAGUUGAAUAAGCUGGCACCUUGACGGUACCUAACCAGAAAGCCACGGCUAACUACGUGCCAGCAGCCGCAGUAA
RNAcentral lists this ribosomal RNA (515 nucleotides) under uncultured bacterium. RNAcentral describes it as "partial 16S ribosomal RNA". It matches the Rfam family "Bacterial small subunit ribosomal RNA", at positions 28 to 523 of the family's 1533-position model. The record is from RNAcentral.